UGCCCCGUGGCUGAGUUGGUCACAGCGUCCGACUGUUACUUCAAAUGUGUUAGCUCAUCAAAUCAGUCGUGAUAUCGGAAGGUCGUGAGUUCGAGCCUCACCGGGGCAG
Trametes coccinea BRFM310 is the source of this 109-nucleotide non-coding RNA. NCBI's taxonomy places the organism in Eukaryota, Fungi, Basidiomycota, Agaricomycetes, Polyporales, Polyporaceae. The record is from the annotation of a GenBank genome assembly.